This 497-nucleotide ribosomal RNA is filed under the name uncultured bacterium. RNAcentral describes it as "partial 16S ribosomal RNA". It matches the Rfam family "Bacterial small subunit ribosomal RNA", at positions 28 to 507 of the family's 1533-position model. The record is from RNAcentral.
GAUGAACGCUGGCGGCGUGCCUAAUACAUGCAAGUCGAGCGAACAGACGAGGAGCUUGCUCCUUUGACGUUAGCGGCGGACGGGUGAGUAACACGUGGGUAACCUACCUAUAAGACUGGGAUAACUUCGGGAAACCGGAGCUAAUACCGGAUAAUAUUUCGAACCGCAUGGUUCGAUAGUGAAAGAUGGCUUCGCUAUCACUUAUAGAUGGACCUGCGCCGUAUUAGCUAGUUGGUAAGGUAACGGCUUACCAAGGCAACGAUACGUAGCCGACCUGAGAGGGUGAUCGGCCACACUGGAACUGAGACACGGUCCAGACUCCUACGGGAGGCAGCAGUAGGGAAUCGUCCGCAAUGGGCGAAAGCCUGACGGAGCAACGCCGCGUGAGUGAUGAAGGUCUUCGGAUCGUAAAACUCUGUUAUUAGGGAAGAACAAACGUGUAAGUAACUGUGCACGUCUUGACGGUACCUAAUCAGAAAGCCACGGCUAACUACGUG